AAAAAAAGAGCUGGGGGGAAGGAAGGAAGGAAUCUAAAAGUGAUUGAUAGAGAGAAGGCACCCCACCCCACCCCACACCACACGCAAGCACAUUCUGCAAAAAAUUUAAAAAGGAAUGGGACUUCAACGUGGGACUUGUAAUGACAACAACAACUAUUUAUAAGCACCUUCAUGUGCUCCUAAAUAAGGGCCAUCAAAUGUCAAGCCCUACUAACAAAAUAUAUAUGUACAUAGCUUUCUUGGCUGUCGGCAGGAACCUACUUGAUGGUGAGACCGAUUAUUUAUUUUCUAUCUUUAUCUCUUAAAAUAGAGGUCUCUAUAUUUAUUUUGAGAAAUAUAGUGAACCCCCAACUAAUCUGAGGACGUAUGAUUAGAUCAAACUCAACGGUGAUGAUGAAUGCAAGAGGAAUAGUGAGACUCCGGGGUGUGGAGGUCUCUUUUGCAAUUUAGACGAGCAUUGGAUCAAAUACUACAAUAAGAAAAUUGGUUCAUGUGAUACACCUCAAGCGAAGAUGUGAAGAUUGUACCAUGGUAUGCCUUAGAGAAAUCAUAUUUUGCAACUUGUUAUGGAGAGUGAUUAAAAAAUUCGUGAUUGACAUGAUUAUAUAUAAUUCCAAUCUUGGCGAGGUAGUUUCCUCUUUGGUGAGGCGUAUUUACAUUCUUUUGACUUUGGAUUGACAAGUAUAAGUUCGUCAUACUUGCUAGGAGGGUAACAAAAGUGAUGAAUGCUAAUUAUAGUCAUUUUUGGAAUUAUUUUAGUUGCUUUAUUGUUAAAUCUCCUCUUGAUGAGUUUUGUCGUUUCUAUGAUGUGGAAUCUCCCCUUAGUGAGCUUUGUCGUUUGCUUUUUAAUGAUAUUUAUUUUAUGUUUA
Molecule: long non-coding RNA, 869 nt
Organism: Medicago truncatula (barrel medic)
Lineage: Eukaryota; Viridiplantae; Streptophyta; Magnoliopsida; Fabales; Fabaceae
Exons: 2
Source: RefSeq, a predicted model, not a curated record